Long non-coding RNA from Rattus rattus (black rat), 385 nucleotides. RefSeq lists it as uncharacterized. NCBI's taxonomy places the organism in Eukaryota, Metazoa, Chordata, Mammalia, Rodentia, Muridae. The record is from RefSeq and is a predicted model, not a curated record. The transcript is spliced from 3 exons.
UCUCUAUUUCCAAUUGCCUGCGUCCUGCCGCCCGGCCCUGAAGGGCUGGGGGAAGGGCUGUCCUGGGUGUGGGGGUGGAGCUGCCUGUGUGCUAAGAGAAGGGGAGCCCACCCCAAGCAUUCCUCUGCCUGUUUCUUUGAGUCCGCCCGGUAGGGAUCUUUUUGAUGACCGAGAAACCUUCAGAGUCAACUUACUGAUGCUGGGCCUUGGCUCAGAGUGAGCACCGUGGACAGAGCUCAGAUGAAAACCCAGGAAGUGAAAUUCAUCUUGGUCCGGGGUCCCCCAGAAACUCCACCAGGGCCUUCAACACUGCGUAGACUCCGAGAGCCAGGGCAAGCCUGAGACCCCAGGCAGAAUGCUGUGAGAGGAUGUCUCUACCCCAGGG